Long non-coding RNA from Carassius auratus (goldfish), 228 nucleotides. RefSeq lists it as uncharacterized. Lineage: Eukaryota; Metazoa; Chordata; Actinopteri; Cypriniformes; Cyprinidae. The record is from RefSeq and is a predicted model, not a curated record. The transcript has 3 exons.
AGCAAACUGGAGAAAAUUAAUCUGAGUAAUUGUAAGCGAACAGAGAAAAUCUGUUCAGUUCUAGCUACUGUUCUCUCCUCCAAAACCACCUUGAAAGAGAUAAACCUGAACAACAGCCGUCUGCUGGACUCAGGAGUCAAAGUGAUCUGUGAGGGACUGAAGAAUCCUGUGUGUGAGCUGAAGAUACUCAAACUUUCAGACUGCAGUAUCACAGAAGAAGGUUAUAAA